Molecule: ribosomal RNA, 253 nt
Filed under: uncultured bacterium
Lineage: Bacteria
Description: partial 16S ribosomal RNA
Rfam family: Bacterial small subunit ribosomal RNA
Source: RNAcentral
GACGAAGCGUGCGAACGUUGUUCGGAAUCACUGGGCUUAAAGGGCGCGUAGGCGGGCCGGCCAGUCUGUGGUGAAAGCCCCCAGCUCAACUGGGGAAGUGCCGUGGAUACUGCCGGUCUGGAGGAGGGUAGGGGCAUCUGGAACGCUGGGUGGAGCGGUGAAAUGCGUUGAUAUCCAGCGGAACUCCGGUGGCGAAGGCGAGGUGCUGGACCCUUUCUGACGCUGAGGCGCGAAAGCCAGGGGAGCAAACGGG